AAUGGCAGGUCAGCAUACUGCCGUGAAUACGUUCCCGGGCCUUGUACACACCGCCCGUCACACCAUGAGAGUUGGGAAUACCCGAAGCCUGUGAGCUAACGAAAGAGGCAGCAGUCGAAGGUAGAAUCAAUGAUUGGGGUGAAGUCGUAACAAGGUAUC
This 159-nucleotide ribosomal RNA is filed under the name uncultured bacterium. RNAcentral describes it as "partial 16S ribosomal RNA". It matches the Rfam family "Bacterial small subunit ribosomal RNA", at positions 1340 to 1500 of the family's 1533-position model. The record is from RNAcentral.